CUUGAUAUAGUGAUGAAUGUGAGGUUUUGGUUUCGGGCAAGUACGCACACUCCGCCACCCAUGCCCCGUAAAGAAAAAACUUUUAUUCAUAUCCUUCCUGUACCCAAAUUGGGUUUAGAUCUAAUUACCUGUCCCUACUCCAUGGGUAAUGUCUUAUACCCGACUGGCAGAACCUCGAAGCCCCACUGUAACAACUAGUUCCCCAUAAGUGUGCAUUAUUAUAGGAAACACAUCAUCCUUAAAAAUUUACAAAAAAGCAAGAUGCAAAAAUCCCUUUAAAUAAGUAUUAAAUUAGCCAAUGUAUGAUGAGCUGAAACUAUUUAAAAUAAUCUCAUGUCAACAAAAGUCCAAACAAUUCAAUUCAAAGUAAUCCCAAAAGUUCCAAUCUCCACAAAGUCCAAGUAAAUAUUAUAAGACAAUAUUGAGCAGAUACCAAUUAGUUCAUUAAAAAUUGUAUGGAGAAAUUUUAAAUGAAAAAGAAAGUAAAAUAAGAACCUGAGUUCCCAAAAGAAUUUGUGGCAAUCAUGCAAUAAGACCGCUGAAGUGAAACCUGCUAAGAGGAUCCUACUGAAGGAAUUGUCUAUGUCCAUCCUAUAAGUCGCACGAUUCCUGCAAAACUAAGUAUGCAGAUCCCUAAUGAGCUAUGAUGCCUGAUGAAUAUCAUACAUUCUAUUUAAAGGCUCAAUCACUUUGGUAGGAUAUUCAAUUACAUAUUUUUUCAGAUAUGUAUAAGUAUAUUUCUGUCUAACAAUCACGUAUUUUCCUUCAUCGUCUAACGUAUUUAUUGACAAUCAAUCAUAUAAGUAAAUUAAUAUGAGUUCAUAUAGUGACAAUAACAGUCACGUAUUUUUCAUUCUAAACAACCAUAUACAUAGAGCCGUAAUAUUCAAUAAAAAAAACAUCAAAC
RNAcentral lists this long non-coding RNA (907 nucleotides) under Carica papaya (papaya). RNAcentral describes it as "long non-coding RNA (CPAP_LNC016064)". The record is from RNAcentral. Lineage: Eukaryota; Viridiplantae; Streptophyta; Magnoliopsida; Brassicales; Caricaceae.